GGUAAUUUAAGGUAUGUGGGCCGGAAAUAAACCAUAAUUAGAGUUCUAGUCGUAAUGGGACGGCUCAAUUAUUUCCUAUAUAUAAAGGCUAGGUCCCCUCUCCUCUCCAUAUGUUUUAUUGGUUUGCCCCAUUGAUAGCUAUUACUUUGUGAGGAGCAAGGAGGGGAAGAUCUUGGCUGCUAUUACAACAAUUAUUUAUAUCAAUAAUGGCUUCCGCAGGUAUGAAUUCGAUUUAUCAAUUAUUAUUAUGUGAUUCUUGUUCUUAGCAUGAUUACAAUAAAAUUCAAUAAUUGGUAUCAGAGCAUUCAUGCUGAGAUUAGAAUCCUUAAUAAACCAAUAUGUUCCCUCGUUUUCUGCAAUAAUCAAGAAGUUGGCUUUUCAUAUUUUUCUUUUUCUGGCAAUUUGAGAGAGUUGAGACUUAAGAGUUAUUAUCCUCCUCACCAAUACCUUUAUUAAAUAUACACGCAUGGAAUGCAUAUACAAUAUAUGCACUAUCAAUUCCUUUUUGGGUCGUAAUCAGCACUGGAAAACCCCAACUAUGCCGCUAUCACCAUGUGACCCUUACCACCAAUGUAUUUUUUUUAUUAUUAUUAUUAUUUUUUUCCUUCUUUCCCAUUCUCCAGUAAUCUUUGAACAUUCCAUUAGAUUUAGAAACAUAAAUCACAAUCCCAAUCCUAAAUUCGGUUUAUUACUUUGAAAGUCCUACUGUCUUGGAAUCAAAUUACUUUAUUGAAUGCCCAGUGAAUUCCAAUGUUGAAGACUUGAGAAGUACCAGACAUUCCAGCAGUACCUGAGUUUGAACCAUGGAGUGUCAUGGAAGUUUCACAGUAUAUAUACAUUUGCACGACACUGAUGCCAAAAUAAAAUCAAGCUCGGUCUACUUGCCACACCGCCG
This 895-nucleotide long non-coding RNA is filed under the name Olea europaea subsp. europaea. The record is from RNAcentral. Lineage: Eukaryota; Viridiplantae; Streptophyta; Magnoliopsida; Lamiales; Oleaceae.